GACGAACGCUGGCGGCGUGCUUAACACAUGCAAGUCGAACGGGAUUUAGUAAACGGAAGCCUCGGUGGAAGAUUACUAAUGAGAGUGGCGAACGGGUGAGUAACGCGUGAGCAACCUGCCUAUGACAGUGGGAUAGCCUCGGGAAACCGGGAUUAAUACCGCAUAAAAUCGUAGAAACACAUGUUUCAACGGUCAAAGAUUUAUCGGUCAUAGACGGGCUCGCGUCUGAUUAGCUAGUUGGUGAGAUAACAGCCCACCAAGGCGACGAUCAGUAGCCGGUCUGAGAGGAUGAACGGCCACAUUGGAACUGAGACACGGUCCAAACUCCUACGGGAGGCAGCAGUGGGGAAUAUUGCACAAUGGGGGAAACACUGAUGCAGCGACGCCGCGUGAACGAAGAAGGUAUUCGUAUCGUAAAGUUCUGUCCUAUGGGAAGAUAAUGACAGUACCAUAGAAGAAAGCGCCGGCUAAAUACGUG
This 478-nucleotide ribosomal RNA is filed under the name uncultured bacterium. Its description in RNAcentral is "partial 16S ribosomal RNA". It matches the Rfam family "Bacterial small subunit ribosomal RNA", at positions 28 to 507 of the family's 1533-position model. The record is from RNAcentral.